Melospiza melodia melodia is the source of this 551-nucleotide long non-coding RNA. RefSeq lists it as uncharacterized. The transcript is spliced from 2 exons. Lineage: Eukaryota; Metazoa; Chordata; Aves; Passeriformes; Passerellidae. The record is from RefSeq and is a predicted model, not a curated record.
GCUGAGGCAGAAAUUGGCUGUCAGGGAGCUCUGAACAUGGCGAGGCGGAACGCUGAGCGCUCGCUGUGCCUCGGCAUGGAGCGCCCUGCGUCCCUCCCCUUCUCCUGUGCUCUAGGUCGCUGCUCGGCAAAACUGCUCUGCGAAUGAAGCCGAGAGCUAUCACAAGCCAAACAAUCCUUCUGACAUCCAGGAUCAGGAACCCGCCCGUGCCUUACAGAAAGGAACAACUAACAACUAAUCCCAGCUAUCAGCGCAAGUGGAAUGAAAGCCCUUAACUGCAUCUCCAAGGCUGAACAACUUGCUUGCUUUAUAAAACCUGAUGUCACAAGCAACUGUGGCACUAAAAAAGGAGUAGGUGCUGUAUUAUAACAGAAGUACCCAGCAAUUCCACUACCUAAACCAAGAACCUGAACCAGUUUAUUCAGAUGCUAAUACAAUUAAUCUGAAAACUCUGCAUGCAAAUCACAAAACAACUGAUUUUUGAAGAUGAGUAUCUGGUGAGAUUACCAGUUCAACAGUUAACCAAUAAAGUCUUUAAUUAAAACACAAAA